GUGUGUUUUACUUUUCCCCUUCUCCCUUCUCCCUUCUCUCUACGUCCGUCCCCUUCUCCUGAACCCUAACACGAAGCUCGCACACGAAGAAAACACAUGAAGGCAGAUUUGUUGGAGACACGGAUACCCACACGAAAUGGAAGGAAGCGAUUUUUAGAAACUGGGCAAUCAAUCAAGGCCUUGAGGUAACCUUCCCGAGUUUUUUGAUUUCGACUUCGCAACAGAUUUCAUUUGUGAAUCUGGGCAAUCAAUCAAGUCAUUGAGGGAUUACUAUACUACAAGUAUUUCAAGUAGGCAGAUAGUGAUCAAUACAUAGAGCCUGGAUCUACAAGAAAGAAAAAAUGAAAUGUUAAGGAAGGAGAAAGAGGUUGAGCAGAGACUCCGCGAUAUCAAGAAGAGGGAGAUUGAGCUCCGUAAGAUGGCGGAUGAAAUAAGGCGUUUACGCACACUACUCCGACUGUAUUAGGCUUUUGUAGUUGUUGUGUCAUAUUGCUUAGUAGUAUUUAACUGAUUUUUGGAAGGCUGUAUUGGGCUUUUGUAGUUGUUGUGUCAUGGUUUGUAAAUCAUGGAAGAAACUCUUGUAAUCAGAAACUUGUGCAAAAAUCAAUGUGUCAUGUUCUUUUUGUUUUUGUAAAUUAUCAGGAACCUGUGCAAAAAUCUAUGUGACUCGUUCCUUGUUUGUGUAAAUUAUCAGGAACCUGUGCAAAAA
This is a long non-coding RNA of Juglans regia (Persian walnut), 709 nucleotides long. RefSeq lists it as uncharacterized. The transcript is spliced from 2 exons. The record is from RefSeq and is a predicted model, not a curated record. NCBI's taxonomy places the organism in Eukaryota, Viridiplantae, Streptophyta, Magnoliopsida, Fagales, Juglandaceae.